GACGAACGCUGGCGGCGUGCUUAACACAUGCAAGUCGAACGGUGAAGCGCCUUCCUUUUUGGUGGGUGUGGAUGAGUGGCGAGCGGGUGAGUAACACGUGAGUAACCUGCCCCCUUCUUCUGGAUAACCGCAUGAAAGUGUGGCUAAUACGGGGUAUUCUGGGUCUGUCGCAUGAUGGGUCUGGGAAAGAUAUUGUUUCGGUGGGGGAUGGGCUCGCGGCCUAUCAGCUUGUUGGUGGGGUGAUGGCCUACCAAGGCGGUGACGGGUAGCCGGCCUGAGAGGGUGGACGGUCACACUGGGACUGAGACACAGCCCAGACUCCUACGGGAGGCAGCAGUGGGGAAUAUUGCACAAUGGGCGCAAGCCUGAUGCAGCGACGCCGCGUGAGGGAUGGAGGCCUUCGGGUUGUGAACCUCUUUCGCCAGUGAAGCAGGCCUGCCUCGUUUGUGGGUGGGUUGACGGUAGCUGGAUAAGAAGCGCCGGCUAACUACGUG
Molecule: ribosomal RNA, 494 nt
Filed under: uncultured bacterium
Lineage: Bacteria
Description: partial 16S ribosomal RNA
Rfam family: Bacterial small subunit ribosomal RNA
Source: RNAcentral